Molecule: ribosomal RNA, 774 nt
Filed under: uncultured Neocallimastigales
Lineage: Eukaryota; Fungi; Neocallimastigomycota; Neocallimastigomycetes; Neocallimastigales
Description: partial large subunit ribosomal RNA
Rfam family: Eukaryotic large subunit ribosomal RNA
Source: RNAcentral
UCAGACGAUGCGUCAUGCAUAUCAAUAAGCGGAGGAAAAGAAACUAACAAGGGAUUCCCUAGUAACGGCGAGUGGAGCGGGAAGAGCUCAAAUUUGAAAUCUUAAAGGGUUUCCCUUUACGAAUUGUAGUUUAAAGAAGUGUUUUCUGUUGAGGUUUUGGUAAAAGUUCUUUGGAAUAGGACAUCAUAGAGGGUGAGAAUCCCGUAUUUGACCUUUACUUUCAACUUUGUGAUACACUUUCAAAGAGUCGGAUUGUUUGGGAAUGCAGUCCAAAAUGGGUGGUAAAUUUCAUCUAAAGCUAAAUAUUGGCGAGAGACCGAUAGCGAACAAGUACCGUGAGGGAAAGAUGAAAAGAACUUUGAAAAGAGAGUUAAACAGUACGUGAAAUUGUCAAAAGGGAAGCGUUUGACACCAGUGUUGUUUUUCUGAAAAUCAAUUAAAGAACUGUUUAUGCUAAGUUGUUUAGACUUUAUCAGCUAACUGUUUAGUUUUGAGCUUUUCUUUAAUGCACUUUUCAGUUAACAAGUCAACAUCAAUUUCUUUUGCUGUAAAAAAGCUUGAGGAAGGUGGCUUGAGAUUCGUCUUAAGUGUUUAUAGCCUCUUGCCUAUGCAGUCGGAGAGAUUGAGGUCUGCAGCGUAGAUCCUUCGGGGCUAAAUGCAUUUGUGCUAAGUUAUAGCAUUUUAUAGACAACUUGUUGACUAUGAUUUGUCUUGUAGCUUACUCGCUUAUGUUAUUUUACCUACGCUUAGGAUGUUGAGCGCAUGUCUCUCUCU